This 3282-nucleotide ribosomal RNA is filed under the name Anaerobacterium chartisolvens. RNAcentral's name for it is "bacterial LSU rRNA". It matches the Rfam family "Bacterial large subunit ribosomal RNA", at positions 326 to 2925 of the family's 2925-position model. The record is from RNAcentral. Lineage: Bacteria; Bacillati; Bacillota; Clostridia; Eubacteriales; Oscillospiraceae.
UAUCUAGCAGAAUGAGGCACUGGAAAGUGCAGACCAUAGAGGGUAAAAGUCCCGUAUGCGAAAGAUAUGAAGACAGGCCGGAAUCCAGAGUACCACGGGGCACGUGAAACCUUGUGGGAAGCAGGGAGGACCACCUCUCAAGGCUAAAUACUAACUGGUGACCGAUAGUGAAGCAGUACCGUGAGGGAAAGGUGAAAAGAACCCCGGGAGGGGAGUGAAAUAGAACCUGAAACCCUAUGUUUACAAGCAGUUGAAGGGCGUUAAGGCCCGACAGCGUACUUUUUGUAGAACGGUCCGGCGAGUUAUAGUAUGCAGCGAGGUUAAGUACUAAAGGUACGGAGCCGAAGGGAAACCGAGUCUUAACAGGGCGAAGCGGACUCUUUGAGUCCGAAAUUAGUUGCAUGCCAUAGACCCGAAACCGGGUGACCUAUCCAUGGACAGGUUGAAGCUAGAGUAAAAUCUGGUGGAGGACCGAACCACAUGACCGUUGAAAAGGUCUGGGAUGAGCUGUGGAUGGCGGAGAAAUUCCAAUCGAACUCGGAGAUAGCUGGUUCUCCCCGAAAUAGCUUUAGGGCUAGCCUCAAGGGAAAAUCAUACGGAGGUAAAGCACUGAAUGGGCUAGGGGCCUUACCGGGUUACCGAACCCUAUCAAACUCUGAAUGCCGUAAUGAUGUUACUUGGGAGUCAGACAGCGUGAGAUAAGUUUCGUUGUCAAAAGGGAAACAGCCCAGACCAUCAGCUAAGGUCCCAAAAUCACAGUUAAGUGGGAAAGGAUGUGGGUUUGCUAAGACAACUAGGAUGUUGGCUUAGAAGCAGCCACUCAUUAAAAGAGUGCGUAAUAGCUCACUAGUCGAGUGAGCCUGCGCCGAAAAUUACCGGGGCUAAACUGUGUACCGAAGCUAUGGAUGCUAGAGACUAGAAACGAGAAACUAGAAACUAGAGAAAAGCUGGAGGAAAGAAUGAUAAAAGAUUUUAGAGACUUAAUUGUGUAUAGAAAAGCAUAUCAGAUAUCGCUGGAUAUACAUAAAGUGAGUUUAAAAAUCCCCCAGUUUGAAAAGGAUGAACUUGGAAGCCAAAUAAGGAGAGCGUCAAAAUCAGUAGCUAUGAAUAUAGCGGAGGGUUUUGGGAGAAAUUCUUCCUUAGCGGAUUUUAAAAGAUUUAUGAUAAUGGCACAAGGUUCAUGUGAUGAAGUAAGAGUGCAGCUGGAUUAUUGCAGGGACUUGGGAUAUAUAACGGAGGCAGAACAUGAUGCAUAUGAGAAUGCAUAUGUAGAAGUUGGGAAGAUGCUGACGAAGAUGCUGACGAAGAUGCUGACGAAGAUGCUCAAGACAUGGCAAAAACAAUCUGGUAUCUAGUAUCUGGUUUCUAGUCUCUAGUAUGGUAGGGGAGCUUACUGUAGUAGGCUGAAGCACGACUGGAAAGACGUGUGGACGAGGCAGUAGUGAGAAUGCCGGAAUAAGUAGCGAGAGUAAAGUGAGAAUCUUUACCGUCGAAAACCUAAGGUUUCCUGGGGAAGGUUCGUCCGCCCAGGGUAAGUCGGGACCUAAGCCGAGGCCGAAAGGCGUAGGUGAUGGACAACAGGUUGAAAUUCCUGUACUGCCGUUACUCGAUAAAAGAGAGGUGGGGACGCAGGAGGAUAAGUUAAGCGAGCAGCUGGAAAAGCUCGUCCAAGGGAGGUAGAUAGCGUGGUAGGCAAAUCCGCCAUGCGUUUCGAAGGCCUGAUGGGGAGGGAAAAUAGAGUACCGAAGUAACAGAUUCCACACUGACAAGAAAAGCCACUAUCGAGAGUGAAGGCACCCGUACCGCAAACCGACACAGGUAGGUGAGGAGAGAAUCCUAAGACGAACGGGAGAAGCAUUGUUAAGGAACUCGGCAAAUUGACCCCGUAAGUUAGCAAUAAGGGGUGCCGAUUCUAGAAACUGGAUACGAGAAACUAGAAACUGGAAGAAGGAAGGCGUAAAAGCUGGACAGUAAUCUGGUAUCUAGUGUCUGGUAUCUGGUUUCUAGGAUUGGCCGCAGAGAAUAGGCCCAAGCAACUGUUUAUCAAAAACACAGGUCUCUGCUAAAUCGAAAGAUGAAGUAUAGGGGCUGACGCCUGCCCGGUGCUGGAAGGUUACGGGAAUCUGUUAUUCGCAAGGAGAAGCAGUGAACUUAAGCCCCAGUAAACGGCGGCCGUAACUAUAACGGUCCUAAGGUAGCGAAAUUCCUUGUCAGGUAAGUUCUGACCCGCACGAAUGGCGUAAUGACUUGGGCACUGUCUCAACAAUGUACCCGGCGAAAUUGUAGUACUUGUGAAGAUGCAAGUUACCCGCGACUAGACGGAAAGACCCCAUGGAGCUUUACUGUAGCCUGAUACUGGGUUUCGGUAUUCUUUGUAUAGGAUAGGUGGGAGACUGAGAACUGCUGGCGCCAGCCGGCAGGGAGUCAACGUUGGAAUACCACUCUAAGAGUACUGGAACUCUAACUGGACGCUGUAAACCAGCGUCAGGACACUGUCAGGUGGGCAGUUUGACUGGGGCGGUCGCCUCCCAAAGAGUAACGGAGGCGUUCAAAGGUUACCUCAGCGCGGUUGGAAAUCGCGUUAACAGAGUGCAAAGGCAUAAGGUAGCCUGACUGUGAGAGCAACAACUCGAGCAGGUACGAAAGUAGGACUUAGUGAUCCGGUGGUAUGAAAGUGGAAUUGCCAUCGCUCAACGGAUAAAAGCUACCCUGGGGAUAACAGGCUUAUCUCCCCCAAGAGUCCACAUCGACGGGGAGGUUUGGCACCUCGAUGUCGGCUCAUCGCAUCCUGGAGCUGAAGAAGGUUCCAAGGGUUUGGCUGUUCGCCAAUUAAAGCGGUACGCGAGCUGGGUUCAGAACGUCGUGAGACAGUUCGGUCCCUAUCUGUCGCGGGCGCAGGAUAUUUGAAGGGAUCUGUCCUUAGUACGAGAGGACCGGGAUGGACGAACCUCUAGUGUACCAGUUGUCAUGCCAAUGGCACGGCUGGGUAGCCAAGUUCGGCAGGGAUAAACGCUGAAGGCAUCUAAGCGUGAAACCCACCCUAAGAUGAGAUAUCCCUGUGCUAGAGACUAGAGACCAGAAACGAGAGACUAGAGUGAAAAGAAAAGCUUAAAGAAUAGAGGUUUUUAAUGUAACUCUGGUUUCCGGUAUCUAGUUUCCAGUCUCUAGCACGUAAGACCCCAUGUAGACUACAUGGUAGAUAGGCCGGGUGUGUAAGUGCAGUAAUGCACUCAGCUGACCGGUACUAAUAGGUCGAGGGCUUGACCAAAUGAACAGGAAGUA